This 584-nucleotide ribosomal RNA is filed under the name uncultured archaeon. Its description in RNAcentral is "bacterial SSU rRNA". It matches the Rfam family "Archaeal small subunit ribosomal RNA", at positions 89 to 656 of the family's 1478-position model. The record is from RNAcentral.
CUCACCUUCACGUAGUCAACCUGCCCUGGAGACAUGGAAAACCCCUGGAAACUGGGAUUAAUCCGUGAUAGGUCAUCUCAUCUGGAAGGAGAGAUGGCUUAAAGGGAUGCGAGAGCUUCUUUUUCGUAUCCGCUCCAGGAUGGGACUGCGACCGAUCAGGCUGUUGGCGGGGUAAUGGCCCACCAAACCUGUAACCGGUACGGGCCUUGAGAGAGGGGGCCCGGAGAUGGACACUGAGAGAAGGGUCCAGGUCCUACGGGGCGCAGCAGGCGCGAAACCUUCGCAAUGUGCGAAAGCAUGACGAGGUUAAUCCGAGUGGUCCCCGCUGAGGGGAUCUUUUGUCGACUGUAAAAAGGUCGGUGAAUAAGGGGAGGGCAAGUCUGGUGUUAGCCGCCGCGGUAAUACCAGCUCCUCGAGUGGUCGGGGCGAUUAUUGGGCCUAAAGCAUCCGUAGCCCGUUCUGUAGGUCUUCUGUUAAAUCCAGCGGCUUAACCGUUGGUAGGCAGAGGAUACCGCAGGACUAGGAGGCGGGAGAGGUGGGCGGUACUCCACGUGUAGGGGUAAAAUCCUUUGAUCCGUGGAAGA